UACGUAGGGUGCAAGCGUUGUCCGGAUUUAUUGGGCGUAAAGAGCUCGUAGGCGGUCUGUCGCGUCGGAUGUGAAAACCCGGGGCUCAACCCCGGGCCUGCAUUCGAUACGGGCAGACUAGAGUUCGGUAGGGGAGUCUGGAAUUCCUGGUGUAGCGGUGAAAUGCGCAGAUAUCAGGAGGAACACCGGUGGCGAAGGCGGGACUCUGGGCCGAUACUGACGCUGAGGAGCGAAAGCGUGGGGAGCAAACAGG
RNAcentral lists this ribosomal RNA (253 nucleotides) under uncultured bacterium. RNAcentral's name for it is "partial 16S ribosomal RNA". It matches the Rfam family "Bacterial small subunit ribosomal RNA", at positions 524 to 776 of the family's 1533-position model. The record is from RNAcentral.